RNAcentral lists this ribosomal RNA (219 nucleotides) under uncultured bacterium. RNAcentral describes it as "partial 16S ribosomal RNA". It matches the Rfam family "Bacterial small subunit ribosomal RNA", at positions 116 to 334 of the family's 1533-position model. The record is from RNAcentral.
CGUAAGCAACCUGCCCGAAAGACCGGGACAACAGCUCGAAAGGGCUGCUAAUACCGGAUGUGUCCGCUUUGCCUCAUGGCUUGGCGAGUAAAUCAUUUAUGGCUUUCGGAGGGGCUUGCGGCCUAUCAGCUAGAUGGCGGUGUAACGGACCACCAUGGCGACGACGGGUAGCUGGUCUGAGAGGAUGGUCAGCCGGACUGGGACUGAGAUACGGCCCAG